GCCAGACUCCUACGGGAGGCAGCAGUGGGGAAUAUUGCACAAUGGGGGAAACCCUGAUGCAGCGACGCCGCGUGAGCGAAGAAGUACCUCGGUAUGUAAAGCUCUAUCAGCAGGGAAGAAGAUGACGGUACCUGACCAAGAAGCUCCGGCUAAAUACGUGCCAGCAGCCGCGGUAAUACGUAUGGAGCAAGCGUUAUCCGGAUUUACUGGGUGUAAAGGGAGCGCAGGCGGCCUUGCAAGUCUGAUGUGAAAGGCCGGGGCCCAACCCCGGGACUGCAUUGGAAACUGCGAGGCUGGAGUGUCGGAGAGGCAGGCGGAAUUCCUAGUGUAGCGGUGAAAUGCUUAGAUAUUGCGCAGAACUCCGAUUGCGAAGGCAGCAUACCGGCGGCGAUCUGGCGCUGAGGCACGAAAGCGUGGGUAUCGAACAGGAUUAGAUACCCUAGUAUCA
This 448-nucleotide ribosomal RNA is filed under the name uncultured bacterium. RNAcentral's name for it is "partial 16S ribosomal RNA". It matches the Rfam family "Bacterial small subunit ribosomal RNA", at positions 330 to 797 of the family's 1533-position model. The record is from RNAcentral.